Long non-coding RNA from Ictalurus punctatus (channel catfish), 403 nucleotides. NCBI's taxonomy places the organism in Eukaryota, Metazoa, Chordata, Actinopteri, Siluriformes, Ictaluridae. The record is from Ensembl.
AACAGUGAUAAAGCAACUUUUAAGCAUGGUGUCUGUUAAAUCUUCCAGUAAUACAGUUCAGCCACUGGGUCCUCACCAGGGUCCUCAGUUCCAUCCUAGGCUUGGGUUACUGUGUGUGGAGCUUCACAUGCUCUCCCCUUCUCCAUGUGGAAUUCCUCCCACCACCCAAAAACAUUCCAGUAAGUGGAUUAGCUAAGCAGAGUCAGCGUCCUGAUGUGAGGAAACCAAAUGACCACAGCUUUUUAAAUGGAAGGGAGUGGGACGCCUGUCUUCCCAGAUGGCAGAGAGAUUUGUAAGAAGAUGCAUCAACUGAAUUUCAAGCAAUUGUUUGUUUAUUUUGUGAGCAUUUAGUAUUUAGCAUUUUAGCAUACAAACAAAUUGCAUUUUAGGACAAUUGUAGGAA